RNAcentral lists this ribosomal RNA (615 nucleotides) under uncultured bacterium. Its description in RNAcentral is "bacterial SSU rRNA". It matches the Rfam family "Bacterial small subunit ribosomal RNA", at positions 338 to 950 of the family's 1533-position model. The record is from RNAcentral.
CCUACGGGAGGCAGCAGUGGGGAAUUUUGGACAAUGGGCGAAAGCCUGAUCCAGCCAUGCCGCGUGAGUGAAGAAGGCCUUCGGGUUGUAAAGCUCUUUCAGCCGGAAAGAAAUCGCGCAGGCUAAUACUCUGCGUGGAUGACGGUACCGGAAGAAGAAGCACCGGCUAACUACGUGCCAGCAGCCGCGGUAAUACGUAGGGUGCGAGCGUUAAUCGGAAUUACUGGGCGUAAAGCGUGCGCAGGCGGUUAUAUAAGACAGAUGUGAAAUCCCCGGGCUCAACCUGGGAACUGCGUUUGUGACUGUAUGACUAGAGUACGGCAGAGGGAGGUGGAAUUCCGCGUGUAGCAGUGAAAUGCGUAGAUAUGCGGAGGAACACCGAUGGCGAAGGCAGCCUCCUGGGCCAGUACUGACGCUCAUGCACGAAAGCGUGGGGAGCAAACAGGAUUAGAUACCCUGGUAGUCCACGCCCUAAACGAUGUCAACUAGUUGUUCGGUGAGGAGACUCAUUGAGUAACGCAGCUAACGCGUGAAGUUGACCGCCUGGGGAGUACGGCCGCAAGGUUAAAACUCAAAGGAUUGACGGNUGAGAGNGCGAGGNGCACGAGGGAGGAG